GCCAUGAUGGAUGUGUCGGAAACUACAAAGCAUGGGCGGAGUAUAACUGUCGCAAGUCGUGCGGUUUCUGCGGAUCACAAACGCCAGUGCCUGCUACUACAGCACCCCACGUCCCGAUUAUUGGACACCUAACUCCAGUACCUGGAUCAGGUAAUCAGAACUGCCGAGAUAAACUAACAACGUGCCACACGUACACCCAGGAUGCUUGCCACGACCCUUACCUUCAAUGGGCCAAGACCAACUGUGCCAAGUACUGCGGUU
Molecule: long non-coding RNA, 261 nt
Organism: Gigantopelta aegis
Lineage: Eukaryota; Metazoa; Mollusca; Gastropoda; Neomphalida; Peltospiridae
Exons: 3
Source: RefSeq, a predicted model, not a curated record